AUAAACCCCAAAGCAAUUCUAGGGUUUUGAAGACAGUCAACUCCAAUAUCGCCGAUCUGUAUAUCUUCGUUUUCUUUUUCUCAGAUUUGUCAAAUAAAGGGUAUAUGUAACCUAUGUAUGCAAUGGUAUAUUGGUAUGUCAUCCUUAAAGCAAAUAGGCUAAUUCUAAUGCCAACUUUGUGUCGGAAGAUGACUAAAUCAACAAAGAUUGUAGGUUGUUUUACUAAUGAAGAGUUACACUCCAUUGGUAUGCUUGCACCUUUGACAUUGAUGUAUACAAAUUAAUUGUAGAGAACAUCUCUUUACAAGCACAAUAAUAUUAAUAAUUCAUUUGAAAGAUGUUCAACAUCAAAUUCAAAAUCAGGAAUGACUAAAACUCUAUUUAGUAAGCAGCAAUUUGCUGAGUUUUUAUAUUUGUAUUCAAGAAGCUGAAUAACAUAAAGUAAUCAAUUUUAUAAAACUGAAAAGGAAACAACAUCGUGGCAUUGACAUAUUGCGACAAUCACCAUCACCUGGAACCAAACACCCAGAUUCAAAAACACCUCUACCAAACUGUUUAGGAAAACGCCUUUACAAGUGUAAAUCUUUUAAAUCUGUUUGGGCAAAUAUUAUUAACAUUAGACCAAAGUUCCAAAUUUUAACAUCAUGGGUAAUUUGAGAAAUUUUUGAUGUUUAGUUUUAGUUUGAACCUGACAAAGGUUUUUAUUUUUUUGUAAUUUUCAUUUCAGCAAAGCUCACUCAAACAACUGUCAUUUCAACUAUUUUAUUUUCAAAAAGCUUUUUAACCAAAUCCCUUUCAACCAAUCCCUUCUAAACAAAAAAUUGUUCAAUGAUCCUUCAAAAGAUGUAGGUAUCGUUAAAGAAUACUAAACUGUCCGGACAACUAUUGAAUACCUUAAGGAACAAAAAGGGGCAAUAAAAACCAUGGCGCAAAAGUAGCUAAAUUAGCCAAUGGAUGUUCUUGGAUGUCUAUCAAGACUGAUAAUGUUGCUGUGAUAAUCUGAAAACAUGGUGGUUUUUAGAAAUGGGUUUUGGGUUAUUUCCAUGUGGAAAUUUAUAGGAUAAAUUUGUUCACCGGAAAAAGAAUAAUGAUUUUUAAGGGUAAAUAUAUUUUAGGUUUUAUUAAUGUUCUUUAAGUUAUUUUUUGUCCAUAUAUUAUUGUUUAACUUAUUUGAUCUGAUCAUGUUAUGUAUUUAUUAUGA
Molecule: non-coding RNA, 1201 nt
Organism: Lactuca sativa (garden lettuce)
Lineage: Eukaryota; Viridiplantae; Streptophyta; Magnoliopsida; Asterales; Asteraceae
Source: RefSeq, a predicted model, not a curated record